AGGACAAAAUAUGGUAUAAUCAGAUACUAGGUUCAGGAAGGAGGUUAUACUUCACAUGUUACAUCCAAAUAUCAAAGAGCUGGAUCAGAGACCCACUACUUAAAUUCAGUUUAAAAGUGUAACUCAUUCAGGAAUGGAACAUUACUCCAAUGCGCCUUUCAAAAAUUGGGGCAGGUGUUCCCUUGCACAAUGAUAAACACGUAUGGCAAAACAAAAACAUCUCAUGAUCCAAUCAAAAUGUGUAUAGAUCAAAUAAAAAAAACUAUUGAAAGAUAAAUCUUAAUAACAACAAUAACCAAAUGAUUGCUUUGAGGCAUUUUCCUCAUCUAAAAGACAUAAGAAUUGAAAUUGAAGCAAGAUACAUCUCAUAAUGGUAAUCAAAAGACUUGAAUAUCAGUUUCAUCAUCAUUCAGCAUCACAGUACAACCAGAUUUGUAAAUCUCCUUCAUUUCAAAUUUCAAAAAAAGUGAGAAUUCAACUAGCUACAGGAAUUGAAUGUCACUAUUUUUCCUUCUUUUUUUUUCACCUUUUCUUCUUUGCAAUUGUCAAUCUCAACAACUACAUUUCAUUAUCUAGAUCUUUUUCACAAUGCGAAACAUGUAAAACAAAUCCCAGAGUUAAAAUGUUAAGACAAACAUGCAAAAUGAAACCAAAAAUUAAUGUACCAAAUCUACAAAAAAUAAAAUAAAAUAAAACCACUAACCUUAGCAGUUCAGAUGGUAGAAUACAGGGAUGAAAUUAACCAAGUUCUUGGCACAGGACCAUUGAUGCAUAAUUUCAAUGUUAUAGAAGGAAAUCAGGAAUUACUGGUGUUUGCGCAGCCACAUUUAAGGGCCCUUCAGCUCUUUGUUUUGUUUUAUGCCUACUAUGGCGAUGUCUACUCUUCUGCUUUUCUUUUUCCCCAUCUCCAAUUUCAUCAGAAUUCUUUUUCUCUGGACUUUUCCUGCUUUUCUCUUUGCCAUGGCUCCGGUGUUUGCUUCUUCGUGAACUUGGAUUUCCAAGAUCAGGCUUUUCUACACCUAAAAUUUCUCUCGAUUCAGGAAGAUCAACAUUCAGUUUCUCCUUCCCUUUUCUUAUACUAGAUGAUUUAUCAGAUAUAAUGCUUUGUGACGAAGCAGUUUUGGCUACAUUACCUAAAAGAAUAUCUCGAACAGCAUCAGAAAGCAAAUCAUCUCUUGUAUCUGAUUUCUUGGCAAUGAUUGGUGCUACAUCUCCUUCAUCCAACUUCACCACCACAGGUCUAGGCUUUGCAUGGUUUGACCUUCUCUUUGGGAGAAGUGAUUUGUCAGUAAGCUUAACUAGAUCUUGAGCAUCAUCAUUGGUGUUAUCACUGGAUUUAGGGUCAUUUGCAGGCGGAUAAUCAUUUGCUAAAGUUUCAUUCUUCUCUGACGGUAGGUAGUACAACCCAUGUCUCUUACGGUGUUCUGCAAGCAAAGAAGUGGACUCACUUGAUGGUUCUGACUCUUCUUUGCUUUGGGGGAUAGAGACAGAAGCACCAACACUCUCCCCAAAAGGACUUCCCAUGGAAAAUGAAAUUGAUGAAGGUAACUGUACAUUUCCACAAAUUGCGUCCAAGUCAGCAAGAUUCUCCUUAAGCAUUAAUCCAUCAGGAAUAGGAACUUUCUCUUGAGCAUUUACUGAGACUGGCCCAAGCUCCUCGGUGAAGGCAUCAUGCACCAUGUCAAUAAUUUUGGAUGCUCUCUCGGAAACAAAACCAUGGGAUAUUUCUUGCUUUAGCAGGUCAACAAAUCCAAGCACAUUAUUAGAUCGCUCCUGCACUUCAACAUCAGGGCUUCCUGAUAGUGGGCCCAAGGCCAGUUCAAUUAAGUUUAACAGGUUAACAAUAGAUUCAUGUGUGAAACCUUUCUCCAGAACAGCAGAUACAUCCCCUUCAUUUAUAAUAGAAAGAUCUUCAUAUGAUUUAUUUGAAUCCCUUGGAUUGAACCCUUCAUCCUGUUCUUGACAAGCAGGUGCUUUGCCUGUUACUAAAGCAGAACUUCCUGAGCAUUCACCUUGAGAUUUUAAACCCAGCAUCUCUGAUGCCACAUCAUCAGCAAUAUUUUCCCUUUGUAAGAGGUAUGAAUGUAAACAAAAUAUUAAGAUUUUAAAAGCAGACUGAAUGUAAACAGUUCUGAUUGAUGGAGGCAAGAGGCUAGUACGAGGUUGUAGCAGUGCUUCCACAAGUUCAACUGGUUUCCUUGAAAAUUCCACAUACUCCCCACACACCCAAGCAGCAGCAGAUAAGAUCCUGUGCAAGAAAGAAUUCCCAAGUAAUGCAGGAUCAAUCAGCAGAUCACGACCAACACGAACAAGCUCCGGUCUAACAUCCUUAACCCUCAUACCUAUAUCAAUAAGCUGAUUCUCAAUUUCUUCCCCCUUUUGGCAAUGUGGAAUCCUAGACAUUUCCCCAAGCAGUGAUACAUACCAAUCAAAGUCUACUAUAAUCUCAUAUACGUUCUGGCAACACUUUGAUAAAAUUGAACCAAGAAUCUCAUUGCAGAACUCAGGAUCAGAUUUGAGUGAAUAAUUAACCAAAACCCUGCAAAUUUCCACCACAUUACUCUCAGACACCAUUGCCACAACAAGACGCAAAGACUCAAGUUUUACAUUAGGAUCAUCAUCACUCAGAGACUUGAUUACAACCUCUUUAUUCUCCAACACUGCCCACAGAUGAUUUGGUGCUAUAAUUGACAGCGCAUGCAAUCCAAGAUACUUAAGGUUUGGAUCAUCAUCCACCAAAAAGUCGCGAAUUUUUGCAACAGAAAGCUUUACUGCAGAUUCAUAGUCAGUAAAACUAGUCACCACAGUCCUGAUACACUCAAACAUCAAUGAUUUCGCCCCAGUUCUCCUCAUAUGCUCACAAAUUGGUUCAACAACCCUUUUAGCCAACCUAGGCUCCAAAGGAGCCAACUUAGCAAAAAUCUUUAACACUUUAAUCAACACCCAAUUGUUCCUUGAAUCAACCAAAAUCCUAUAAAACUCGGGUGCUAAGGGAAGAUAGGAUCUGGGGUCUUUGGAAGCAAGCUCACAGAACACUCCAACAACUGCAGACACAAUCUGCGGAUCAGUACCAUCUAAACACUCGACCAGUCUCUUAAAACACACCCUAACCGCAUCUGGGUAUUUCCCAAAAACCCUCAAAACCACGCCUAUAGCUUUCUUUCUAACAAAAACCUUAGAACUCGACAAUAAAGUGAAAACUUCAGGAGUAAGAUCCCUGCAUAAAUCAGCAGUACCAAUUCUGGAUAGGCAAUCAAGAGCUAAACUCACCUCGAACUCAUUAUUACUCUUGAGAUCUUUCCGCAACUGGUUGGUGAUCAACAAAAUAACAGAUGUGGAUUCGUUAAAGGACAUAGAUAUCGCAAGGUAACCAACCUUCUUGUGGGAGAAAUUGGGAGAGGAUAUGCAUUCAAUAGCAUGAAAAGCCGCCCAUGACAUGUCAGUAAAAUGAAUGGAAUUGAGAUAAGUAAGUUUCUGAAGUGCUAUAGAUUUGGUGUGCAAGUCGGUCGAUUUGAUCUCGCGCCGGAUUUCUUCGACCACUUUGGAAAUGAAAGCGGACUCUCCGGCCUGCUGAUGGCGGAGGCCCUUGAUUAUAUCGUCCAAUGUGCGUUGAAAAAGAGUGUCCAUGAGCGAAGGGGAUGCCAUUAGACAGAAAGAGGGAAUUGGGAUAUUGGUUUAAGGAUUGAAUGGAUACAUAAUUAAGAAGAAGGGAUCUGCAGAGAAAAGAUUGGGUAUGGGAAUGGGCAUGGAUCGGAGGAUUUGGGGGUCCGUGGAGGUAACUGUUGGUUUUACGGAAGCGUGUCGAAGGUGGAAGCUUUGAUCUGGGCUGCUGCGAUUUUACUUGGCUCUGUGCACAGCCG
RNAcentral lists this unclassified non-coding RNA (3860 nucleotides) under Hevea brasiliensis (rubber tree). Lineage: Eukaryota; Viridiplantae; Streptophyta; Magnoliopsida; Malpighiales; Euphorbiaceae. The record is from RNAcentral.